This 173-nucleotide ribosomal RNA is filed under the name Actinomycetes bacterium. Its description in RNAcentral is "Actinobacteria bacterium partial 16S ribosomal RNA". It matches the Rfam family "Bacterial small subunit ribosomal RNA", at positions 1 to 172 of the family's 1533-position model. The record is from RNAcentral. Lineage: Bacteria; Bacillati; Actinomycetota; Actinomycetes.
UUCACGGAGAGUUUGAUCCUGGCUCAGGACGAACGCUGGCGGCGCGCUUAACACAUGCAAGUCGAGCGAGAACCAGGCCUUCGGGCCUGGGGACAGCGGCGAACGGGUGAGUAACACGUGGGUAAUCAACCCUCGAUACUGGGAUAGCCCGGGGAAACCCGGAUUAAUACCGG